GCCAGCAUAGCUCAGUUGGUUAGAGCGGGAGAAUCAUAAUCUCCAGGUCGUUGGUUCGAUUCCAUCUGCUGGCA
Molecule: transfer RNA, 74 nt
Filed under: Spirochaetota bacterium
Lineage: Bacteria; Pseudomonadati; Spirochaetota
Description: Spirochaetes bacterium tRNA-Met
Rfam family: tRNA
About the family: Transfer RNA (tRNA) molecules are approximately 80 nucleotides in length. Their secondary structure includes four short double-helical elements and three loops (D, anti-codon, and T loops). Further hydrogen bonds mediate the characteristic L-shaped molecular structure. tRNAs have two regions of fundamental functional importance: the anti-codon, which is responsible for specific mRNA codon recognition, and the 3' end, to which the tRNAs corresponding amino acid is attached (by aminoacyl-tRNA synthetases). tRNAs cope with the degeneracy of the genetic code in two manners: having more than one tRNA (with a specific anti-codon) for a particular amino acid; and 'wobble' base-pairing, i.e. permitting non-standard base-pairing at the 3rd anti-codon position.
Source: RNAcentral